RNAcentral lists this ribosomal RNA (500 nucleotides) under uncultured bacterium. Its description in RNAcentral is "partial 16S ribosomal RNA". It matches the Rfam family "Bacterial small subunit ribosomal RNA", at positions 30 to 523 of the family's 1533-position model. The record is from RNAcentral.
AUUGAACGCUGGCGGCAGGCCUAACACAUGCAAGUCGAGCGGAUGACGGGUGCUUGCUCCUUGAUUCAGCGGCGGACGGGUGAGUAAUGCCUAGGAAUCUGCCUGGUAGUGGGGGACAACGUUUCGAAAGGAACGCUAAUACCGCAUACGUCCUACGGGAGAAAGCAGGGGACCUUCGGGCCUUGCGCUAUCAGAUGAGCCUAGGUCGGAUUAGCUAGUUGGUGAGGUAAUGGCUCACCAAGGCGACGAUCCGUAACUGGUCUGAGAGGAUGAUCAGUCAGACUGGAACUGAGACACGGUCCAGACUCCUACGGGAGGCAGCAGUGGGGAAUAUUGGACAAUGGGCGAAAGCCUGAUCCAGCCAUGCCGCGUGUGUGAAGAAGGUCUUCGGAUUGUAAAGCACUUUAAGUUGGGAGGAAGGGCAGUAAGCUAAUACCUUGCUGUUUUGACGUUACCGACAGAAUAAGCACCGGCUAACUCUGUGCCAGCAGCCGCAGUAA